CUUUCGCAAGCCACUGUAUCCUACCGGAACACAUGAUUAGAGCAUUUUACUAGUUGCAUUGUAGUUGAGACUACUGUUACAAUUUUUUGGGGGGGAGGUGGAAAGUCCACAGGAUUUAUUUUACGAUCAGUGUGGGACAUCUCAGUGAUAUCUCAAGAUGUAUUCCAAGGUCGUCCACCCCUCUCUGUUCUCGUGGGGAAGUAUACAACUUGAUUUGUUUCCUUAGCAGUCGGCCUCGUACAGUGUUGCACGUAGCCUCGACGAGGCACAUCAUGGGUCUGGGCUAGUAUUCCCCUCCUUUGUGUCUUGGGACCCCCCAACCAGCGGUUGGUGUUGGUGUCUGAGGCACAAACAAAAAGGUUGUGCCCUUUGUACGAGUUGUCAGCAGCCGUGUUGUUAGUAGAUUGGAUGUAACCUUUCAACCAAAUCUCUUGGUGUUUGUGCUUCAAAACUCUCAGUGGCUGUCGUGGCCUGCCAUUCACCACAGCGUCCGCGUGUGGCAACCGUUCCAGUACCUGCCAACUGAGACGAGGAUAUCUGAGUCAGAUUCUGCACCAAGAGCUGGGAUGCUACCGGACGUAGUUCAGGGAUGAUCGUGGUGGGAGUGAUCAUCGGCUCCAAGAGGAUAAGCAUCAACCCAGACAAUGUGGCCACACCCAUUGCUGCCAGCUUCGGUGACCUCAUCACCCUGGCCUGCCUCAGCCAGGGGCACUAUGAAUGCAUAGAGUAUUAUCCCUAUGUGUCUGAUCUGCCUCUGCCUGACCCAUCUGUGGGUGGUCGUCUCCUUCAGAAACCCAGCCAGUUGCAUUCUACUCUACACAGGCUGGGAACCAAUCAUCACUGCCAUGGUCAUCAGCAGAUCUGCUACCCUGUUCCGUGCCCAUGAAGUCCAGUCACAGCAUUCGAAUCUUGUGAACUUCAUGGAAAUACCAUGCUUCAAUUUAUUUUUUUCUCUACUAUCGGAGGACUCAUCCUGAACACAACUGUAUCAGACCUGAACAUGGUGGGAAUUUAUUUAUUUGACCUUUAUUUAACUAGGCAGGUCAGUUAAUAACAAAUUCUUAUUUUCAAUGACGGCCUAGAAACAGUGGAUUAACUGCCUUGUUCAGGGGCAGAACGACAUAUGGUAUCAUAUGGAAUGAUAGUCUACACGCCAGUUAUGAAUAGUAAGACGGGGAGCUGGGUUUUUAGGAGCACACAUUCAGGAUCCUUCAAGAAAAUGGUAAGUCAUAAUGCAUAUGAUCAUUGUGUCUCUCCUCCUCAUCUCAAUCUCGGCGUUGGGGGGAACUUGGGAGAGGUGCCUGAGGAUCAAAGGAGCUGCUACAACCCCUGCAGGACCUUUUGUGGCUCAGGUCUUCACUCUGCUGUGUCUUGCUGACUGGAUGGUCCAUUGCCUGUGGCGGACGGGCAAGGACACAGACUGUUACUCCAGCCCCUACCUCACCGCUCUGGGGAUCUAUUGGGCACGGCCCUCCUCGCUCUGGCCUUCUUCCUGCUCUGGCUCAUAGGGGAGCAGGUUCCCACUGGAGACUGACACCCUGGUUACAGUCUUGUCAGUUGGGGAGUUGCAGCGAUGAGACUCGGGAGCGGUGAAGGUCAAGAGCCAUGCGUCCUCCCGAAGCACGACCCAACCAAGCCGCACUGCUUCUUGACACAAUGCCCAUUUAACCCGGAAGCCAGAAAACCAAUGUGUCAGAGGAAACAUCGUACACCUGGCGACCGUGUCAGCGUGCACUGCGCCCGGCCCGCCACAGGAGUUGCUAGUGCGCGAUGGAACAAGGACAUCCCUGCCGGCCAAACCCUCCCCUAACCCGGACGACACUGGGCCAAUUGUGCACCUCCCCAUGGGUCUCCUGGUCACGACAGAGCCUGGACUCGAACCCAGAAUCUCUAGUUGCACAGCUAGCACUGCGAUGCCUUGGUUGGGUUGUGUUUUGUGGUCCCGUGUGGCUCAGUUGGUAGAGCAUGGUGUUUGCAACGCCAGGGUUGUGGGUUCGAUUCCCACGGGGGACCAGUAUGGAGAAAAAAUGUAUGAAAUGUAUGCAUUCACUACUGUAAGUUGCUCUGGAUAAGAGUGUCUGCUAAAUGAUUAAAAUGUAAAUGUGCCUUAAACCACUGCACCACUUGGGAGGCCUGUCCCACUCCUUUUCAAUGGCUGUGUGAAGUUACUGGAUAUUGGUCGGAAACUGGAACACGCUGUCGUACAUGUCAAUCCAGAGCAUCCCAAACAUACUGAAUGGGUGACAUGUCUGAGUAUGCAGGCCAUGGAAGAACUGGGACAUUUUGAGCUUCCAGGAAUUGUGUAAAGAUCCUUGCGACAUGGUGACGUGCAUUAUCAUGCUGAAACAUGAGGUGAUGGCAGCAGAUGAAUGGCACGACAAUGGGCCUCAGGAUCUUGUCGUGGUAUCUCUGAAGUUAAAAUAGAUUUUUGCUCUUCUCACUAAUGGCAAAUGGUUGAGCUUGUUUCUUUUUUCCCCAUUUGCACAAAAUACUUACUUGCCAGCUUGCAAUAUGGCAUGGGGCAUUAUCCUGCUUUAAAAAUCUAUUCACAGGUGGAUACACUGCUGCCAUGAAGGGAUGCACCUGAUUGGCAAUGAUGUACUUCCCAAGUACUUCUCUGCCGCUGCCACCACAACCUCCUUUUCUGUGACUUUCCAUCCAUUUCUGAAGUACAAUUGACAACCAUGGCUAUAAAUGCUCAAAAGCCCACCAUACUGAAGAACAUAUUCUUCAUAAUCACUCUCUCUGUCUCUGCCUACUCACAGGAAUCCUCUCAGAAUCCCUCACCCUGUACCCAUCUUCCUCUACCACUCUUCACUGCUUCGGCACAUAACACUUUUUGUACUACUCUAAACCUGGCAACGUCAAUCUGCCUUUCUCUCACCGGACACCUCCUAUCUCCAGCCCCAUGGGCAACCCCUACAACUAACACACAACUUUCUCCACCGAUGCCAUACAUUCCUUCGUCUCAUGCCCUUCUGCACACUUCUAUUUACUCAAAACAUAUUCCACUUUUCUCCCUUUUUUCUUGUCCACCAUCUUGUCCUUCACCAGAUCUUCCAGAAGGCUUGUGCAAUCCCCACUCCAUAUUUAUUCAUAAUAUGGUCCAUUUUCUUCAUUUUUUUUUCUUGUUCGCGAUCUUACGGUGUGUCUAAACUCCAGUCCCUCUCAAUCUCUUCUUCACAAUCCACGUCUCAAUUGUCUCAAGGCAUCUGUCUCCUCCCCUUCAUCUACACUGACUGAAGUGGAUUUAACAGGUGACAUCAAUAAGGGAUCAUUGCUUUCACAUGGUCAGUCUAUGUCAAGGAAAAAACAGGCAUUCCUAAUGUUUUGUACACAUGUAUAUUUUUAUUAUUUUAUAAAAUGGCAUCUAGUGGUCUUUUUGGGUACUGCAGAUUAUCACAGGUGUGUAAUUAUUUCUACCCACAGCAAUAAUUACACAUCUGAUAAUCUGCAGUACCCAAAAAUACCACUAGAUGCCAUUUUAUAAAAUAAUACAAUCUCACGUAAAAUAUAUAAAAUAAUGAAAGAUGAUUUUAAAAUAAAAUAUUUACUGACCAAGCUGUAAAACAUUAUCCUAAAUAUAAACCAUCAACUUAGUAAAUAACAUUGGUGUUUAUUAUGAGGCCUCAGGUUUCAGCAUGAAAUAUCCUUCUUUUUUUUACACACUUAUUUAUUUUGCUAUGUCCAAAUGUCUUUGUUGUAAAUGUUUUGGCACCAAACUGGUGGCAGUUAUGAAAAAAGUGAAUAGUUGGAAGAGUUUCAGUUAAUUGAAAAGAAUGCCAUUGUUGAUUAGAUACUUUUUUCAUUAAUUAUGCUAUUUUCUCUUGAACCAUAUGUUCUAUCCCCUAUAAACUAAUUGACACACAUAUAUAUAUAUAUAUAUAUAUAUAUAUAUAUAUAUAUAUAUAUAAAAAAUAGCAUAUGUAUUUUUUUUUAAAGUGAAUAAAGUCUAAAUUACCAAAGUUACCAUACCCUAAUUUUGACAAUGUGAGACAAUAAUAUUGCAGUUACUUCCUCCCCUUAUGAAAAAAGAUUGCAGUCAGAGUGCCACAUACAAUGCAGUAUAACUUUGGUUAUAGUGAAGUAUAAUUGCUGUUAUUCUACAUUUACUGUGUCCAAAAUAUUACAGUCAAUCUUUCUUUGUUAAGGGUUAUUUGUGUGACUUGUUUUUUUAUUAUUUUUAUUUGUGUGACUUGUCUUGCAUUGUUUUGUGAGCUGAGAAUGAGUCCAACAAACUGUCUAGUGAAUAAUUUGUUUUUAUUAAAAAGCUUGUUCUGCCUCUGCAUCAAUA
Molecule: long non-coding RNA, 4294 nt
Filed under: Salmo salar (Atlantic salmon)
Lineage: Eukaryota; Metazoa; Chordata; Actinopteri; Salmoniformes; Salmonidae
Description: lncRNA (ENSSSAG00000119667.1)
Rfam family: UnaL2 LINE 3' element (bases 2042-2095)
Source: RNAcentral